CCGGAGAUUGGCAGGGAUGUGUCAGCUGACCGGUGUUCGCCCACGGCGAACCGUUCGCAGCAAGUUCGCGAAUGGUUACCGACAUCACUAGUCUCUAGUGGACGCUUUCUCAACAACCUGGCUCACCUUCUGGCUAGCCUAGGUUUGUGUAGGCACCGUUAGACCUGAUACUUUCUUUGACAAUACGGAGUUGGAUUUGAG
Non-coding RNA from Pelobates cultripes (western spadefoot toad), 201 nucleotides. Lineage: Eukaryota; Metazoa; Chordata; Amphibia; Anura; Pelobatidae. The record is from the annotation of a GenBank genome assembly.